GGGGAAUUUUGGACAAUGGGGGCAACCCUGAUCCAGCCAUGCCGCGUGAGUGAAGAAGGCCUUCGGGUUGUAAAGCUCUUUCGGCGGGGAAGAAAUGGCAACGGCUAAUAUCCGUUGUUGAUGACGGUACCCGCAUAAGAAGCACCGGCUAACUACGUGCCAGCAGCCGCGGUAAUACGUAGGGUGCGAGCGUUAAUCGGAAUUACUGGGCGUAAAGCGUGCGCAGGCGGUUUCGUAAGACAGACGUGAAAUCCCCGGGCUCAACCUGGGAACUGCGUUUGUGACUGCGAGGCUAGAGUACGGCAGAGGGGGGUAGAAUUCCACGUGUAGCAGUGAAAUGCGUAGAGAUGUGGAGGAAUACCGAUGGCGAAGGCAGCCCCCUGGGUUAGUACUGACGCUCAUGCACGAAAGCGUGGGGAGCAAAC
Molecule: ribosomal RNA, 425 nt
Filed under: uncultured bacterium
Lineage: Bacteria
Description: bacterial SSU rRNA
Rfam family: Bacterial small subunit ribosomal RNA
Source: RNAcentral